AUUGAACGCUGGCGGCAUGCCUUACACAUGCAAGUCGAACGGCAGCACGGGUGCUUGCACCUGGUGGCGAGUGGCGAACGGGUGAGUAAUACAUCGGAACAUGUCCUGUAGUGGGGGAUAGCCCGGCGAAAGCCGGAUUAAUACCGCAUACGAUCUACGGAUGAAAGCGGGGGACCUUCGGGCCUCGCGCUAUAGGGUUGGCCGAUGGCUGAUUAGCUAGUUGGUGGGGUAAAGGCCUACCAAGGCGACGAUCAGUAGCUGGUCUGAGAGGACGACCAGCCACACUGGGACUGAGACACGGCCCAGACUCCUACGGGAGGCAGCAGUGGGGAAUUUCGGACAAUGGGCGAAAGCCUGAUCCAGCAAUGCCGCGUGUGUGAAGAAGGCCUUCGGGUUGUAAAGCACUUUUGUCCGGAAAGAAAUCCUUGGCUCUAAUACAGUCGGGGGAUGACGGUACCGGAAGAAUAAGCACCGGCUAACUACGU
This 485-nucleotide ribosomal RNA is filed under the name uncultured bacterium. RNAcentral describes it as "partial 16S ribosomal RNA". It matches the Rfam family "Bacterial small subunit ribosomal RNA", at positions 30 to 506 of the family's 1533-position model. The record is from RNAcentral.